CUUGGUUUAUGUGCCUGGCUGGAGGAGACACCCAUGGCCUUGCAGAGGGAGCGAUCUGGUGGGAAAGCAGACAAAACCCACCCCAGGCCCGUGGUUUCCCUGCAACAAGCCCAGUGGCUUUCUGGAGGACACUUUUCCUGGAGGAAGUGAUUCAAGAGCAGCAUACGCCAGGCUCUAUGGAAUGUUGGGUGAGCUGCUUGAGGACCUCCAAGGCCUGUCCCACAGUCUUCCAGCCUCCGACUCUCCGGCCCUCAGUGUGGAAGUCCCACUGGUUUUGUUUUUUGUUUGUUUGGUUUUGUUUUUUUGUUUUUGUUUUUGUUUUUUUUCUCAUUCCUGUCUUGGGAGCUUUCCCCAACCAUGAUAGUGAAGAUGGGCGGAGCUGUCACACCAGCUGUUAGCCUGCCUUGGCUGAGAGGCUAGGAGAUGAGGAGGGAGCGACCACCCAGCUUCAGUCAUUUUAAAGUAGUUCCUGACCCUAGGAGAAGGGAAAUGGAGAUGAAGACUCAAUUGACUUGGUAUGAAGUUUAAAUGCCCCUUCGAGACUCGGGGGUUGAGGACGGCUUCCCUCCCUCCCAGUGCUGAUUUCCUGUGGACCAGAUUCCAGCACAGUGAAGGGCCAGAGCUCAGGGAACAGACCCAGCAGCACAGCAAGUCUCCAAGGGAAGCUCUAGCAGUCUCCAGGGGCUGAAGGCAGGACUGGGGAAAUGGCUAACCAGGCUGCAGAAGUCAAACGCUCCCAGUCGGCUGUCCAGCAGGCAUCUGCCUUCCUAGCCAAGUUUCCUGGGCUCCUGCCACAGAUCUAAGCCUCAUCCUGACAUCCUGCCCUCUGUGCUCUGGGAUGGCCCAGGGGAGAUGCUUAGCCUUGGCUUCUUGUCUGCUGGUGGAGGGGACACACACCCUUUCUGGACCACAGACCAAAAAGAAGACCUGACGUCAUCUUGAGCACCCACCCCUGCCAUGCAGAGUGUGUUUGCAGACUGCCAACGGGCUGGCUCCGGCCAGCAGAAGUGAACAGAGGUGGAGGUUCAGCCUGACAGCUUCUCUCCAAAGCCAUGGAGAGAGAACCUUACCACCCCCACCACCCAGCUACUUCCAGCAAGUUGUCCAGCCUGAUCCCUCUAUUUCCCCUGUUGUCUCUUAGCUGGCUCCCCGAGACCCACCCCAUCUCCAAUAAAGAACAUUGCAUACUGCG
This 1192-nucleotide long non-coding RNA is filed under the name Mus caroli (Ryukyu mouse). Its description in RNAcentral is "lncRNA (MGP_CAROLIEiJ_G0005670.1)". Lineage: Eukaryota; Metazoa; Chordata; Mammalia; Rodentia; Muridae. The record is from RNAcentral.